AAGGAUUUAAGUUAAUUAUAAACUAGUAGCCUUCAAAGCUCCCAUUAAAGAUUGGUCUUUAAGCCUUA
Molecule: transfer RNA, 68 nt
Filed under: Teslasena femoralis
Lineage: Eukaryota; Metazoa; Arthropoda; Insecta; Coleoptera; Elateridae
Description: tRNA-Trp
Source: RNAcentral